RNAcentral lists this ribosomal RNA (442 nucleotides) under uncultured bacterium. RNAcentral's name for it is "partial 16S ribosomal RNA". It matches the Rfam family "Bacterial small subunit ribosomal RNA", at positions 338 to 795 of the family's 1533-position model. The record is from RNAcentral.
CCUACGGGUGGCUGCAGUGGGGAAUAUUGGGCAAUGGGCGAAAGCCUGACCCAGCAACGCCGCGUGAAGGAAGAAGGUUUUCGGGUUGUAAACUUCUUUUGGCAGGGAAGAGCAGAAGACGGUACCUGUCCAAUAAGCCAUGGCUAACUACGUGCCAGCAGCUGCGGUAAUACGUAGGUGGCAAGCGUUGUCCGGAUUUACUGGGUGUAAAGGGCGUGUAGCCGGGCUGACAAGGCAGAGGUGAAUUCCGGGGGCUCAACCCCCGAACUGCAGUUGAAACUGUUGGUCGUGAGUAUCGGAGAGGCAGGCGGAAUUCCUAGUGUAGCGGUGAAAGGCAUAGAUAUUAGGAGGAACACCAGUGGCGAAGGCGGCCUGCUGGACGACAACUGACGGUGAGGCGCGAAAGCGUGGGGAGCAAACAGGAUUAGAUACCCCAGUAGUC